GCCCCCGUAGCUCAGAAGGAUAGAGCAACGGUUUCCUAAACCGUAGGUCGCACGUUCGAAUCGUGUCGGGGGCG
Molecule: transfer RNA, 74 nt
Filed under: Nitrospinae bacterium RIFCSPHIGHO2_02_39_11
Lineage: Bacteria; Pseudomonadati; Nitrospinota
Also listed under: 7 other names
Description: tRNA-Arg
Rfam family: tRNA
About the family: Transfer RNA (tRNA) molecules are approximately 80 nucleotides in length. Their secondary structure includes four short double-helical elements and three loops (D, anti-codon, and T loops).
Source: RNAcentral